This 495-nucleotide ribosomal RNA is filed under the name uncultured bacterium. Its description in RNAcentral is "partial 16S ribosomal RNA". It matches the Rfam family "Bacterial small subunit ribosomal RNA", at positions 28 to 507 of the family's 1533-position model. The record is from RNAcentral.
GACGAACGCUGGCGGCGUGCCUAAUACAUGCAAGUAGAACGCUGAAGGAGGAGCUUGCUCUUCUGGAUGAGUUGCGAACGGGUGAGUAACGCGUAGGUAACCUGCCUGGUAGCGGGGGAUAACUAUUGGAAACGAUAGCUAAUACCGCAUAACAGUAGAUGUUGCAUGACAUUUACUUAAAAGGUGCAAUUGCAUCACUACCAGAUGGACCUGCGUUGUAUUAGCUAGUUGGUGGGGUAACGGCUCACCAAGGCGACGAUACAUAGCCGACCUGAGAGGGUGAUCGGCCACACUGGGACUGAGACACGGCCCAGACUCCUACGGGAGGCAGCAGUAGGGAAUCUUCGGCAAUGGACGGAAGUCUGACCGAGCAACGCCGCGUGAGUGAAGAAGGUUUUCGGAUCGUAAAGCUCUGUUGUAAGAGAAGAACGAGUGUGAGAGUGGAAAGUUCACACUGUGACGGUAUCUGACCAGAAAGGGACGGCUAACUACGUG